Molecule: long non-coding RNA, 2632 nt
Filed under: Vitis vinifera (wine grape)
Lineage: Eukaryota; Viridiplantae; Streptophyta; Magnoliopsida; Vitales; Vitaceae
Description: long non-coding RNA (VVIN_LNC005972)
Source: RNAcentral
UGGGAUUUGGGAGGCUUAGAACUUAAUGAAAGAGUGGAGGUGCAUGUGACAUUGUGACACACCGAGAAGAGAGCGAGUCGGGCGGUGGGGGGUGGUUUCCACUUUCCACUUGAUGAUGAUGACAAUAAAAUUUAAAAGAAAAAAGAAAAGAAAAUAAGAAGAAGGGUCAAAAGGGUCAGAUAGGAGGGGCAACACACAGGUGGGACAAAUCGGCGAGUGCUACCAGAAAAAGCAAGCCAAGAGAAAGUUGAAAAUGGCUUUUCACCGGCCUUCCCAAAUCCAAAAUCCCAAUGCCUCUCAAAACGUUCUCUCUAUACCAAUCAAAAAGCCCUGAACUUUCCCAGACACACACACACUUUCUCUCUCUUUCUCUCUCUCUCUCUUUCUCCUUCAUUUCUAAACGUAAAACCCCGCCCAACAAACCUCGCAACCAAAGGUUUCUCUCUACAUUCUGCAAUGGCUGUCAAGGGAAUCUUCUUCUCUUCCAUUUUCAUUGCCUCCAGUGAACAAAAUGCCCUUGGUCCGAAUGAGGUACCAUUUCGCCAUACCUUUGUAAAUCGAAGGUCGUUUUCGUGCAUUUUCAGAUGAGAGGCGUAAAAUGUAGUCUCUCUCUGUAAAUCCUCCCCCUCGUUGUGUGGUAAAAGGCAGACAGGAUGGAGCCAGGCAAUAUAUAUAUAUUUAUAUAUUUAUAUAUAAAGUUUUUUCUUUUUCACUCACAAAACUCUCACACCCCUUUUGUUAUUUCUGCUUCCUUUUUUUUUUUUUCCUUUCUAUUUUUGGGUUUUGGUUUUUCGUGUUUUCGUUUUUUGCGAGACUGUAAAAGAGGUGGAGGAGGAGCACACCACUCGUCAUCGAUAAUGGUUAUCGAUCGUCAUCCAUGGAAAUGCAAGGAGGAACACAGUGUAUGAAUGAAGCAUUUUGGUGGCUUCAUAUAUGUAUGUAUUUAGGGAUGUUGUGCCCUUAUAUAGUUAAUGAGAUGAUGAGAUGAUGAUGAUGAUGAUGUAUGCUUUUCUAAAUUUUCCAUUGAUUCAAAUGGGCAUAUGGAUAUAUAAAAAAUACAUAGUUCUUCUAUAUGUGGUUUUGCCCUUUCUGUUGGAUUUUGUUUUCUGUUUAUUUUUGGUUCAUGUGUUGCUGGUCAGGUGAGCAUUGUUAAAUCUGUGGGUUCUUUUUGCCAUUUUAUCUUACUCCUUUCCUUACUUGUUGAAGCAAAUGAAAGGGGCUUUUUGGGGGGAAAAGAAGCCACCUCAAAGUAAAGACUAUUCCAUUUUUGCCUUUACAAGCAUAUGAAAUUAGCGCAUUUGGUUGCUUCCAGCAUUUCAGAUGAUCCCUUCUUUUAUUUCCUUUUUUCCCCUUUGCUGGUCUCUUGUGAAAAAUGGGACAAAAAUGGAAAUGACAGAAUCUUCACAUUUUCCAUGUGUUUCUCUGAGAAAUGGGCUUCGAUUGUUGGGAGAAUGGUGCUUAUUUUGAUUUGUUAUUUUAUCUGCGUGUUUGUUGUUUGUUUCCAUCUAAAAUUUAAUUUUAGAUUAGAUCUUCUGAUUUGUAAAUAAAAAUUUUUGGAAGGCAUAAUUUUGUUGUUUUAGGCUUUUUUUUUUCCCUUACUCGUCUAUUUUAUUUUAUGGCAUUGUUUAUCCAGGAAGAUCUACUGUGACAUCUCCAAAUGAUGCCAAAAGAAAAAGUGAUAUGCUUUGAAUUUCCAACACAAUGCAUAUCCUGGUUCUGGUGAAUCAAGGCAUAUUCAUUGAAGGGGCACAAGUGACCCUGACCAAUAUCCUUAUUUCAUCUUUGCAUAGAAAUCUCCUUUUUUAUGGGUGUUCCAUGGGAUUGGGGGCAGGAGGAAUGUCUCUAGCUGUACAUGGUGAAUUGGGGUGGAGGCACCCGUUGGGUCAUCAUGAAGCAGCUUAGUGAUCCCUACAGGGGGUUGCCCUUAGACAAAUUGCUUUAACUGAUAUGGUUGUAUCUUUAUGACUUCAAGCUUUGAAUGGUGAUGGUGGAAAUGUUGUCUUUAACUUCAGCUACUGCAAAUUAGAUCUGUUCAUGCUUAUACCCAUUUGUUUACAAUUAGUACACUUCCCCAAAUUUCCACAGAUCAAAUUCUGCUUGUGAAGUGAUCAAAGUUCAAUCCAAAGUGGUAUUCUCAAGCCAUAUGAAUCUAAUUGGUUUUAUGGUUUUACACUUCUGUUGGCUUUAUUGAACUCCCCAGGAUGAAGUUCACCUGAUUGGUAUCAUGGUUUUAUACUUCUGCAGGCUUCAUUGAACUUCCAUGAAUGGAGUUCACUUUCAGCCUCACAGGAUGUCACCUUGAAAACUGUAAAACCUUGAAAUGUUGAGAGCUUUCAAGUUGAUCCCUGUUAUUACUAUCAACAUGAAAAGAGAAAUGGUCAUGCUCCAGUUCAAGGGAUGACAUCCUCUGAAAAGCAAAAAGCCACUUCUGGAUUUUAUUUUUGUCUUUUAUCAUCUAUCCGGAGGUUUGACUAGAUUUUCCCAAGCAUAAAGCCUUCAUGACUGGCAAACAACUAUCAAAUGAGGCUAAUACCAUUCAGGAUUUCUUGAAUGAAUCAUAGAUGAUCAAAUUUUGUUUUUCAUGAUUCAAUAUAUAGGAACCUUCAUAGCCAUGUGUUUUAUUAUGGCAAAG